GGGGUCGUUAUGGAUUCGACGGGUAUGGUUCGUGCUCGAACUGCAUUCCGCACGACGAUGCGUUAAAUCGUUCAGUUUAAAUUAUAACUGCAAAAAAUAAUACAAACUCUUACGCCUUAGCUGCCUAAACACCAGCUGACGUAGAUCCAGCUAACUUCGUCCAUGGGUUAGUUCUGGGUCCUAAAUUUAAUGGACUAACGCUUCUUUGUCUCCACCUGGGGCAAGAAGAAGAGACUAAUCAGGUUAGCUUUUCAUAUUAGCCUUGGUUAAUGGCGUGAUGAAAAGCGAAGUUUAAAUAAUCAACCUAUGAAUGUAGACGUUCGAGUGGCGGCAUAUUCGGACGCGGGUUCAAAUCCCGCCGACUCCAUUA
RNAcentral lists this transfer-messenger RNA (370 nucleotides) under Lactobacillaceae. RNAcentral's name for it is "Fructilactobacillus sp024029435 Standard tmRNA". It matches the Rfam family "transfer-messenger RNA". Rfam says of the family: Bacterial tmRNA, also known as 10Sa RNA or SsrA, is named for its dual tRNA and mRNA-like properties. Its role is to liberate the mRNA from a stalled ribosome. The record is from RNAcentral. Lineage: Bacteria; Bacillati; Bacillota; Bacilli; Lactobacillales. RNAcentral also lists the same sequence under 1 other name.